AGCCCCUUUGGUGAUCGUACUGCAAACCGACUCAGGUGGACGGGGUGAAUAUCCCAAGGCGCGUGAGAGAACCCUGGUUAAGGAACUCGCAAAUUGACACCGUAACUUCGGGAGAAGGUGUGCCGCUGGCGGUUAGUGACUUCGCGUCACGAAGCUGUCGGUGGUCGCAGUGAAAUGGCGGUUGUGACUGUUUACUAAGAACACAGGACUCUGCGAAGUCGUAAGACGACGUAUAGGGUCUGAUGCCUGCCCGGUGCUGGAAGGUUAAGGGGAUAUGUCAGCGCAAGCGAAGCAUUGAACCGAAGCCCCAGUAAACGGCGGCCGUAACUAUAACGGUCCUAAGGUAGCGAAAUUCCUUGUCGGGUAAGUUCCGACCUGCACGAAUGGCAUAACAACAUCCGCACUGUCUCGACCAGGGACUCAGCGAAAUUACAUUGGGGGUGAAGAUGCCCUCUACCCGCGGAAGGACGGAAAGACCCCAUGAACCUUUACUGCAACUUGGCAGUGAUUUUCGGGUUGUUCUGCGUAGGAUAGGUGGGAGGCUUUGAAGCCGGGCUUCCGGGUUCGGCAGAGCCAACGUUGAAAUACCACCCUGAAUAAUCUGGAAAUCUAACCUGCGCCCAUGAUCUGGGCGAGGGACACUGCCUGGUGGGCAGUUUGACUGGGGCGGUCGCCUCCUAAAUUGUAACGGAGGCGUGCGACGGUUCCCUCAGGCUGAUUGGAAACCAGCCGUAGAGUGCAAACGCAUAAGGGAGCUUUACUGCGAGACUGACAAGUCGAACAGUUGCGAAAGCAGGUGUUAGUGAUCCGGUGGUACCACAUGGAAGGGCCAUCGCUCAUCGGAUAAAAGGUACUCUGGGGAUAACAGGUUGAUCGCGCCUGAGAGUUCACAUCGGCGGCGCGGUUUGGCACCUCGAUGUCGGCUCAUCGCAUCCUGGGGCUGGAGCAGGUCCCAAGGGUUUGGCUGUUCGCCAAUUAAAGCGGUACGCGAGCUGGGUUUAAAACGUCGUGAGACAGUUUGGUCCCUAUCUUCCGUGGGCGCAGGACACUUGAGAGGAGCUAUCCAUAGUACGAGAGGACCUGGAUGGACGAACCUCUGGUGCUCCGGUUGUCACGCCAGUGGCAUAGCCGGGUAGCCAUGUUCGGAACAGAUAACCGCUGAAGGCAUAUAAGCGGGAAGCUGGCCUCAAGACUAGGUGUCCCUGACGCAAGUCACUAAAGGCCCCUCGAAGACUACGAGGUUGAUAGGCUCGGUGUGGAAGCGCUGCGAGGCGUGGAGCUAACGAGUACUAAUAGGCCGUGCGACUUGACCUC
Molecule: ribosomal RNA, 1314 nt
Filed under: metagenome
Description: bacterial LSU rRNA
Rfam family: Bacterial large subunit ribosomal RNA
Source: RNAcentral